GGUUUGCCCGAUUCUAGGGCGGCGGGCGUUUCCUGCCACCAGCCGGAAAGGGGCGGCAGGACCGUGGGAAGUCGGGCUCUAAAGUUGCCGUGGGGUUUGAGUCUUCUCCGGGGCGCCUCCCUGUUGUGCUGUAAGCUGCCAAUAAGACAAACAGCAAUUUCCCCUCCAAAGAGGAUGUUUCCUUACCUGUCCGGGCGCGGGAGGGCAGGGGUAGGGCGCAUGCGCGCUGGACCCUGAGCCUGCGCCCCGCGGGGUGGGUGAGCGGCUGCUCAGGGGUCCUUUGUGACGUCCUCGGGCUGAGCUCUAGGCCCGAGAGCUGCUACGGAGCGGGAACGGGACCCCGCGCACCUGGAGGGGCGAGGGAAGGAGUUGCCCGGAGUCCGCUCCGCACUGCUGUGUUCGGGGUGCAGCCCGGCCUUGUGGGGGUCAAGGAAGGCACACUUGUGGGUGCUUCCGGCUGGGCCCUGGAGGCGUGACGUGAGGUCCUGCAGGCCCCCUCCUCCCUGGAAUGGUCCACCUGCUCUGAUCCGCCUGGCGAGAAGCUUUGCACCUCCACACCUUCCGCCUGCUGUUGCUGCCUCCGGCCCAGCCAGCUGGGGCCUAAACCCUGCACCAGUUAAAACUCUCCCCCUCUAACCCUCGAGCAGCAGGCGGUUUGUUCCAGCAAAGGGGAGAAGAUAAACACAAGAGGUCAUGGAGCUCACACUUAGCCACCAGGAUCUGCCCUGGGCGCUCUGCCUUAGCGAAGCCUGAUCACGCCCUGAAGGCCUCACCUCUGCAUGGCGUAGUUGUUCAGUUUCCACGCUAUGAGGAUUUAAUGUAAACCCAUGAAACCUGGUGGGCCCAACACCGUAUCCAAACCAUCACACCCCUCUCUUCACUUAGCCGGGAGGACCCGCAAGUACCCAGAAACUAAGUGGCCACCCCAGGCCCCACAGAAACCAGUGCCCCAGCUCUUCCCUUUCCUAGGACGCAAGUCUACAUUAACCUUCCCACCCCUAAAGAACAGCAGGUCCAACAGUGGCGUUUCAAGCUUUACAUCAGCCCAGGGACAGAGAUGUGGUGGCCUACACCUCACUGCCUGCACCACACACCCCGUACAGGAGGCUUGCCUGCGGGCUUGCUGUGACAACAGUAUGGAGACAUAACUGGGGACAGACAGGAUGAGCUCAGCGGAGCUGCAGCGUUGGGGUGAAAACUCGUCUGGCCCUGUACUCACCGUGGAGAAACGAGUUUCUGCCAGGGAAGACAAGGGAGAUGUUACUUAGUGGUUUUGAUGUCUCAAAAGCCAGGUUCGUGUGGAGACUGGAGAAGGAAAGAUAAAGAUUCCCAAACAGGUUUGAGGGCUCCAGAGGAGGGAGGUCCCACUGUCAGCCUGGAGUUCUCAGAGAAGGAAAGGCCCCUGCUUUGGUUUGGCUCUGAAAUGUCCCCAAAAGUUUCAUAUUUGGAGGGUGACUGAAUGGUGGGGAUCCAUCCACUGCUGAGUUCAUGACUGAAUGUGCUGCACAGAGCUGGUUCGCUGGGCAUGUGACCUGGGAGGAUACAUUCUUUCCUGGACUCUCAUUUCCCUCUGUUUCCUAGAUGUCCUGAGCUGAGCACCUUUUCUCUACCAUGCCCUUGUACCAUGCCAUUUCUGCCUUAGAGUCACCCAGCCAUGGAUUACAACCAUGAAUGAAAAUAAAACUCUCCA
Long non-coding RNA from Fukomys damarensis (Damara mole-rat), 1690 nucleotides. RefSeq lists it as uncharacterized. Lineage: Eukaryota; Metazoa; Chordata; Mammalia; Rodentia; Bathyergidae. The record is from RefSeq and is a predicted model, not a curated record. The transcript has 2 exons.